RNAcentral lists this ribosomal RNA (484 nucleotides) under uncultured bacterium. Its description in RNAcentral is "partial 16S ribosomal RNA". It matches the Rfam family "Bacterial small subunit ribosomal RNA", at positions 30 to 507 of the family's 1533-position model. The record is from RNAcentral.
AUUGAACGCUGGCGGCAGGCCUAACACAUGCAAGUCGAGCGGAUGAAGGGAGCUUGCUCCUGGAUUCAGCGGCGGACGGGUGAGUAAUGCCUAGGAAUCUGCCUGGUAGUGGGGGAUAACGUCCGGAAACGGGCGCUAAUACCGCAUACGUCCUGAGGGAGAAAGUGGGGGAUCUUCGGACCUCACGCUAUCAGAUGAGCCUAGGUCGGAUUAGCUAGUUGGUGGGGUAAAGGCCUACCAAGGCGACGAUCCGUAACUGGUCUGAGAGGAUGAUUAGUCACACUGGAACUGAGACACGGUCCAGACUCCUACGGGAGGCAGCAGUGGGGGAUAUUGGACAAUGGGCGAAAGCCUGAUCCAGCCAUGCCGCGUGUGUGAAGAAGGUCUUCGGAUUGUAAAGCACUUUAAGUUGGGAGGAAGGGCAGUAAGUUAAUACCUUGCUGUUUUGACGUUACCAACAGAAUAAGCACCGGCUAACUUCGUG